Molecule: ribosomal RNA, 253 nt
Filed under: uncultured bacterium
Lineage: Bacteria
Description: partial 16S ribosomal RNA
Rfam family: Bacterial small subunit ribosomal RNA
Source: RNAcentral
GACGUAGGGGGCAAGCGUUGUCCGGAUUCAUUGGGCGUAAAGAGCGUGUAGGCGGCCAGGUAGGUCGGUUGUGAAAACUGGAGGCUCAACCUUCAGAGGUCGACCGAAACCAUCUGGCUAGAGUCCGGGAGAGGAGAGUGGAAUUCCUGGUGUAGCGGUGAAAUGCGCAGAUAUCAGGAGGAACACCGGUGGCGAAGGCGGAUCUCUGGGCCUUACCUGACGCUCAGGUGCGAAAGCUAGGGGAGCAAACAGG